AAUGAACGUUGGCGGCAUGGAUUAGGCAUGCAAGUCGAGCGCGAAACGUAGCAAUACGUGGAGAGCGGCGAAAGGGAGAGGAAUAUGUGGGAACCUACCUUCGGGCCUGGAAUAGCGGCGGGAAACUGCCGGUAAUGCCAGAUAACGUCCCCGGACCAAAGGUGUGAUUCCGCCUGGAGAUGGGCCCACAUCCUAUCAGCUUGUUGGUGUGGUAACGGCGCACCAAGGCUAAGACGGGUAUGGGGUGUGAGAGCAUGCCCCCACUCACUGGGACUGAGACCCUGCCCAGCCACCUACGGGUGGCUGCAGUCGAGAAUCUUCGGCAAUGAGCGCAAGCUUGACCGAGCGAUGCCGCGUGCGGGAUGAAGGCCCUCGGGUUGUAAACCGCUGUCGUAGGGGAAUAACGGUCGGUGGGUUCUCCCAUCGAUUUGCAUGAUCCUAGGAGGAAGGACGGGCUAAGUUCGUG
RNAcentral lists this ribosomal RNA (466 nucleotides) under uncultured bacterium. Its description in RNAcentral is "partial 16S ribosomal RNA". It matches the Rfam family "Bacterial small subunit ribosomal RNA", at positions 29 to 507 of the family's 1533-position model. The record is from RNAcentral.